AGCACCACAACGGGUGGAGCUUGCGGUUUAAUUGGAUUCAACGCCGGAAAUCUUACCGGGACCGACAGCAAUAUGAAGGCCAGGCUGAAGACUUUGCCGGAUUAGCUGAGAGGUGGUGCAUGGCCGUCGUCAGUUCGUACUGUGAAGCAUCCUGUUAAGUCAGGCAACGAGCGAGACCCACGCCCACAGUUGCCAGCGUACUCUCUGGAGUGACGGGUACACUGUGGGACCGCCGCUGCUAAAGCGGAGGAAGGAAUGGGCAACGGUAGGUCAGUAUGCCCCGAAUAUCCCGGGCUACGCGCGAGCUACAAUGGUUGGUACAAUGGGUAUCUACCCCGAAAGGGGACGGGAAUCUCCUAAAACCAAUCUUAGUUCGGAUUGAGGGCUGCAACUCGCCCUCAUGAAGCUGGAAUCCGUAGUAAUCGCGUUUCAACAGAACGCGGUGAAUACGUCCCUGCUCCUU
RNAcentral lists this ribosomal RNA (463 nucleotides) under uncultured Methanosaeta sp. RNAcentral describes it as "bacterial SSU rRNA". It matches the Rfam family "Archaeal small subunit ribosomal RNA", at positions 875 to 1338 of the family's 1478-position model. The record is from RNAcentral. Lineage: Archaea; Methanobacteriati; Methanobacteriota; Methanomicrobia; Methanotrichales; Methanotrichaceae.